This 295-nucleotide unclassified non-coding RNA is filed under the name Hevea brasiliensis (rubber tree). Lineage: Eukaryota; Viridiplantae; Streptophyta; Magnoliopsida; Malpighiales; Euphorbiaceae. The record is from RNAcentral.
GGAAAAAUCCAAAAUGAGAAUACAAAUUGGAAAGGGAAAAAUGAGAAAAUAGUGAUAAGUGGGUAAUGAUGCAAAAGUUAAACUAAAUGGGUUGACCAAAUUAAAACAUAGUGGGAAAGAAUACAAAUUUGAUUAAAAUUCAACCCCACAAAGAGAUGCAUGGAGUGGCGAGUAGAGAAACUUUAUGCCUAAUGGGUGACAAGAUAAAAUUAGCUUUUCUCAAAUAAUUUACAUCACCAUGAUGACCUAACCACGCGUAAUUAUCGUCUCUAAUUAAUUAAAUACCUUCAUAUCG